Molecule: ribosomal RNA, 763 nt
Filed under: Staphylococcus sp.
Lineage: Bacteria; Bacillati; Bacillota; Bacilli; Caryophanales; Staphylococcaceae
Description: bacterial SSU rRNA
Rfam family: Bacterial small subunit ribosomal RNA
Source: RNAcentral
UCGAGCGAACAGACGUAGGUAGCUUGCUACUUUGACGUUAGCGGCGGACGGGUGAGUAACACGUAGGUAACCUACCUAUAAGAGUGGGAUAACUAACGGGAAACCGGAGCUAAUACCGGAUAAUAUUACGAACCGCAUGGUUCGAUAGUGAAAGAUGGCUUUAGCUAUCACACAUAGAUGGACCUGCGCCGUAUUAGCUAGUUGGUAAGGUAACGGCUUACCAAGGCAACGAUACGUAGCCGACCUGAGAGGGUGAUCGGCCACACUGGAACUGAGACACGGUCCAGACUCCUACGGGAGGCAGCAGUAGGGAAUCUUCCGCAAUGGGCGAAAGCCUGACGGAGCAACGCCGCGUGAGUGAUGAAGGUCUUCGGAUCGUAAAACUCUGUUAUUAGGGAAGAACAAACGUGUAAGUAACUGUGCACGUCUUGACGGUACCUAAUCAGAAAGCCACGGCUAACUACGUGCCAGCAGCCGCGGUAAUACGUAGGUGGCAAGCGUUAUCCGGAAUUAUUGGGCGUAAAGCGCGCGUAGGCGGUUUUUUAAGUCUGAUGUGAAAGCCCACGGCUCAACCGUGGAGGGUCAUUGGAAACUGGAAAACUUGAGUGCAGAAGAAGAAAGUGGAAUUCCUGGGGUAGCGGUGAAAUGCGCAGAGAUAUGGAGGAACACCAGUGGCGAAAGCGACUUUCUGGUCUGUAACUGACGCUGAUGUGCGAAAGCGUGGGGAUCAAACAGGAUUAGAUACCCUGGUAGUCCACGCCGU